RNAcentral lists this ribosomal RNA (497 nucleotides) under uncultured bacterium. RNAcentral describes it as "partial 16S ribosomal RNA". It matches the Rfam family "Bacterial small subunit ribosomal RNA", at positions 28 to 507 of the family's 1533-position model. The record is from RNAcentral.
GACGAACGCUGGCGGCGUGCCUAAUACAUGCAAGUUGAGCGCUGAAGGUUGGUACUUGUACCAACUGGAUGAGCAGCGAACGGGUGAGUAACGCGUGGGGAAUCUGCCUUUGAGCGGGGGACAACAUUUGGAAACGAAUGCUAAUACCGCAUAAAAACUUUAAACACAAGUUUUAAGUUUGAAAGAUGCAAUUGCAUCACUCAAAGAUGAUCCCGCGUUGUAUUAGCUAGUUGGUGAGGUAAAGGCUCACCAAGGCGAUGAUACAUAGCCGACCUGAGAGGGUGAUCGGCCACAUUGGGACUGAGACAUGGCCCAAACUCCUACGGGAGGCAGCAGUAGGGAAUCUUCGGCAAUAGACGAAAGUCUGACCGAGCAACGCCGCGUGAGUGAAGAAGGUUUUCGGAUCGUAAAACUCUGUUGGUAGAGAAGAACGUUGGUGAGAGUGGAAAGCUCAUCAAGUGACGGUAACUACCCAGAAAGGGACGGCUAACUACGUG